RNAcentral lists this ribosomal RNA (253 nucleotides) under uncultured prokaryote. RNAcentral describes it as "partial 16S ribosomal RNA". It matches the Rfam family "Bacterial small subunit ribosomal RNA", at positions 525 to 777 of the family's 1533-position model. The record is from RNAcentral.
ACGUAGGGGGCGAGCGUUGUCCGGAAUCAUUGGGCGUAAAGGGCGCGUAGGCGGCCUGGCAAGUGGAAGGUGAAAUCCCUCGGCUUAACCGAGGAACUGCCUCCCAAACUGCUUGGCUUGAGACCAGGAGAGGUGAGCGGAAUUCCAGGUGUAGCGGUGAAAUGCGUAGAUAUCUGGAGGAACACCGGUGGCGAAGGCGGCGUUCUGGACUGCAACUGACACUGUAAAACGAAAGCCAGGGGAGCAAACGGGA